AGGUAUGCUUUUACUGCAUCGGCAGUGUGUCUGGAAUCACUGCCAAGCUGAAAAAUGAAGCCCCUGCCAAUCAGAUAUUUCCAGAUGGUGGAUCAAAAUCUGACUGUACUCAUUUUCAUAAUUCCAUCAGACUGGCAGCAGCUCAGUGCAGGCGACAGGUUGUUACUGAAAGUGCGCGGCGAUAAGGAGAGCUUGCUUCGUGGUGGAGAAAAGGUCAUGACGCUUGGGAAUCCACCCUGAAAACAUACAAUGUCUUGGCAAGGUGGUUCGGCCACUUGCGUCAUUUCUUCCUGCAAUUGUUCAGCAGGUCAACGCGCAGACACAGCUGGCAGGAAGAGAGAUGCUGAACCCACCAUAAAGCUAGCCAAUCAGAUUGCUCCUAUGCAGAAAGCGGCAGCCAUCCUUGGCCAGUCUCUGGACCAUCUCCAGUCUGGACAGGUCCUCCUUGUCAUGCAGGAUGCACUUGUUCCCGUGCUGCAGCCCAGGGGACACAGAGAACAUGUAUCUGAGGCCACAGUCCCACGACAUUGCCGACUGAUUACUGGCUGCUGGCUUUCCACCAGGAACAACAGCAGAAGUCCUGAACAUGGGCUUACACAACUCGUAAAAAAUGCCUAACAGAGCGGUGUGAUGCUUGACUGGGUCCUUGCAAAGCCAUUCAGCUGUGCUGCCAUCCCAAACUGCUGAUACAGCAAACUGCAGAAUGAGAAAAGGUCCCCAUCUCUAGGUGGUGUUUCUCUUUCAUGUGAGGACGAGUCCUAUCUGCAGCCUUUUUGUUCUUUUAAUGUAAGUGAUUGGCACAACACCAAUUGCACUCCUCCUACAGAGUACAUAUUAGACUUAUUACAAUAGGUAAGUCCUCCUUUAAGUCCUCUUAAAAUCUUUUUAAAAUUAAAAGAAAAAAAUUACCAAGUACUAAGUAAAUGAACUAAUAUGACCACAUUCUUGGUUUGUACCAGACUUAAUUACAGUACUGUAUGUGGCUGUCUUUGAGCAUUUGCUUUUGUGAUACCACUGUAGGAAGAAAGUGAACGCGUUACAUCGAGACAAAGCCAGGGGGACAAACCUAGUUUUAAUGUGCUACCACUGACCCAGUUUUUCAAGUAAACGAAUUGCAAAGUGAAGAUGCCUAAAGCCAAAAUUGUAAGGCAGCUCUGUGUGCUACUAGUGUCUUUAACCAGCGACUGCCAUGACAACCAUGGGAGGAACUCUACUGCAGGCGCGCAGCGCUGCAACAGACUAAAAAAAAUGAUGAAACUCUU
Long non-coding RNA from Oreochromis aureus, 1262 nucleotides. The record is from Ensembl. NCBI's taxonomy places the organism in Eukaryota, Metazoa, Chordata, Actinopteri, Cichliformes, Cichlidae.